UUUAUUGCUUCGAUCAAUGCACUGAAAGUGACUACACCAGGAUUUGUUUUUAAGUUUUUGCUCUCAUCUAUAUGAUAAAGAUGAAAAUUAGCCUCUGAUGUAGUCACUUUCAAUGCGUUGAUCAUAGCAUGGAAA
This 135-nucleotide microRNA precursor is filed under the name Brassica napus (rape). Its description in RNAcentral is "miR161 stem-loop (bna-MIR161)". Its record names the gene bna-MIR161. It matches the Rfam family "MIR161 microRNA precursor family". The record is from miRBase by way of RNAcentral. Lineage: Eukaryota; Viridiplantae; Streptophyta; Magnoliopsida; Brassicales; Brassicaceae.